UUCCAGAUGGCGAGUCCCAAAUAGGACGAAAUGCGCUUUGUCCUGGAU
RNAcentral lists this non-coding RNA (48 nucleotides) under Trichobilharzia regenti. The record is from RNAcentral. Lineage: Eukaryota; Metazoa; Platyhelminthes; Trematoda; Strigeidida; Schistosomatidae.